GCUUUGAUAGCUUAAAAACUAAAGCACUGGUCUUGUAAACCAGAGACCGAAGAUGAAACCCCUUCUUAAAGCA
This 73-nucleotide transfer RNA is filed under the name Mordacia mordax (southern lamprey). RNAcentral's name for it is "tRNA-Thr". It matches the Rfam family "tRNA". From Rfam's summary of the family: Transfer RNA (tRNA) molecules are approximately 80 nucleotides in length. Their secondary structure includes four short double-helical elements and three loops (D, anti-codon, and T loops). Further hydrogen bonds mediate the characteristic L-shaped molecular structure. tRNAs have two regions of fundamental functional importance: the anti-codon, which is responsible for specific mRNA codon recognition, and the 3' end, to which the tRNAs corresponding amino acid is attached (by aminoacyl-tRNA synthetases). tRNAs cope with the degeneracy of the genetic code in two manners: having more than one tRNA (with a specific anti-codon) for a particular amino acid; and 'wobble' base-pairing, i.e. permitting non-standard base-pairing at the 3rd anti-codon position. The record is from RNAcentral. Lineage: Eukaryota; Metazoa; Chordata; Hyperoartia; Petromyzontiformes; Petromyzontidae. RNAcentral also lists the same sequence under 1 other name.